AAGGCUGAGGCGUGAUGACGAGGCACUACGGUGCUGAAGCAACAAAUGCCCUGCUUCCAGGAAAAGCCUCUAAGCAUCAGGUAACAUCAAAUCGUACCCCAAACCGACACAGGUGGUCAGGUAGAGAAUACCAAGGCGCUUGAGAGAACUCGGGUGAAGGAACUAGGCAAAAUGGUGCCGUAACUUCGGGAGAAGGCACGCUGAUAUGUAGGUGAAGUCCCUCGCGGAUGGAGCUGAAAUCAGUCGAAGAUACCAGCUGGCUGCAACUGUUUAUUAAAAACACAGCACUGUGCAAACACGAAAGUGGACGUAUACGGUGUGACGCCUGCCCGGUGCCGGAAGGUUAAUUGAUGGGGUUAGCGCAAGCGAAGCUCUUGAUCGAAGCCCCGGUAAACGGCGGCCGUAACUAUAACGGUCCUAAGGUAGCGAAAUUCCUUGUCGGGUAAGUUCCGACCUGCACGAAUGGCGUAAUGAUGGCCAGGCUGUCUCCACCCGAGACUCAGUGAAAUUGAACUCGCUGUGAAGAUGCAGUGUACCCGCGGCAAGACGGAAAGACCCCGUGAACCUUUACUAUAGCUUGACACUGAACAUUGAGCCUUGAUGUGUAGGAUAGGUGGGAGGCUUUGAAGUGUGGACGCCAGUCUGCAUGGAGCCGACCUUGAAAUACCACCCUUUAAUGUUUGAUGUUCUAACGUUGACCCGUGAUCCGGGUUGCGGACAGUGUCUGGUGGGUAGUUUGACUGGGGCGGUCUCCUCCUAAAGAGUAACGGAGGAGCACGAAGGUUGGCUAAUCCUGGUCGGACAUCAGGAGGUUAGUGCAAUGGCAUAAGCCAGCUUGACUGCGAGCGUGACGGCGCGAGCAGGUGCGAAAGCAGGUCAUAGUGAUCCGGUGGUUCUGAAUGGAAGGGCCAUCGCUCAACGGAUAAAAGGUACUCCGGGGAUAACAGGCUGAUACCGCCCAAGAGUUCAUAUCGACGGCGGUGUUUGGCACCUCGAUGUCGGCUCAUCACAUCCUGGGGCUGAAGUAGGUCCCAAGGGUAUGGCUGUUCGCCAUUUAAAGUGGUACGCGAGCUGGGUUUAGAACGUCGUGAGACAGUUCGGUCCCUAUCUGCCGUGGGCGCUGGAGAACUGAGGGGGGCUGCUCCUAGUACGAGAGGACCGGAGUGGACGCAUCACUGGUGUUCGGGUUGUCAUGCCAAUGGCACUGCCCGGUAGCUAAAUGCGGAAGAGAUAAGUGCUGAAAGCAUCUAAGCACGAAACUUGCCCCGAGAUGAGUUCUCCCUGACUCCUUGAGAGUCCUGAAGGAACGUUGAAGACGACGACGUUGAUAGGCCGGGUGUGUAAGCGCAGCGAUGCGUUGAGCUAACCGGUACUAAUGAACCGUGAGGCUUAACCUUACAACGCCGAAGGUGUUU
This 1415-nucleotide ribosomal RNA is filed under the name Escherichia coli. RNAcentral describes it as "partial 23S ribosomal RNA". It matches the Rfam family "Bacterial large subunit ribosomal RNA", at positions 1552 to 2925 of the family's 2925-position model. The record is from RNAcentral. Lineage: Bacteria; Pseudomonadati; Pseudomonadota; Gammaproteobacteria; Enterobacterales; Enterobacteriaceae.